GCGGCUUGCUUACCAUGCAGUCGAACGAUGAACCGGUUUCGGCCGGGGAUUAGUGGCGAACGGGUGAGUAACACGUGGGCAAUCUGCCCUGCACUCUGGGAUAAGCCCGGGAAACUGGGUCUAAUACCGGAUACGACACAUCACCGCAUGCUCGGGUGUGGAAAGUUCCGGCGGUGCAGGAUGAGCCCGCGGCCUAUCAGUUUGUUGGUGGGGUAGUGGCCUACCAAGACGACGACGGGUAGCCGGCCUGAGAGGGUGACCGGCCACACUGGGACUGAGACACGGCCCAGACUCCUACGGGAGGCAGCAGUGGGGAAUAUUGCACAAUGGGCGAAAGCCUGAUGCAGCGACGCCGCGUGAGGGAUGACGGCCUUCGGGUUGUAAACCUCUUUCAGCAGGGAAGAAGCGAAAGUGACGGUACCUGCAGAAGAAGCACCGGCUAACUACGUGCCAGCAGCCGCGGUAAUACGUAGGGUGCAAGCGUUGUCCGGAAUUAUUGGGCGUAAAGAGCUCGUAGGCGGCCUGUCGCGUCGAUUGUGAAAGCCCAGGGCUUAACCCUGGGUCU
This 565-nucleotide ribosomal RNA is filed under the name Streptomyces sp. DOSMB-SP9. RNAcentral's name for it is "bacterial SSU rRNA". It matches the Rfam family "Bacterial small subunit ribosomal RNA", at positions 39 to 622 of the family's 1533-position model. The record is from RNAcentral. Lineage: Bacteria; Bacillati; Actinomycetota; Actinomycetes; Kitasatosporales; Streptomycetaceae.